RNAcentral lists this ribosomal RNA (1962 nucleotides) under human gut metagenome. RNAcentral's name for it is "bacterial LSU rRNA". It matches the Rfam family "Bacterial large subunit ribosomal RNA", at positions 505 to 2475 of the family's 2925-position model. The record is from RNAcentral.
GAGGGAAAGGUGAAAAGCACUUCGAACAGAAGAGUGAAAUAGUCCCUGAACCCAUACGCCUACAAGCAGUCGGAGCCGCUUCGUGCGGUGACGGCGUGCCUUUUGCAUAAUGAGCCUACGAGUUACUCAUCACCAGCGAGGUUAAGUACUUCAGGUACGUAAGCCGAAGCGAAAGCGAGUCUGAAUAGGGCGUCAAGUUGGUGGUGGUAGACGCGAAACCUUAGUGAUCUACCCAUGGGCAGGGUGAAGGUUUGGUAACACAAACUGGAGGCCCGAACCGGUAAACGUUGAAAAGUUUUCGGAUGACCUGUGGGUAGGGGUGAAAGGCCAAUCAAACUGGGAAAUAGCUCGUACUCUCCGAAAUGCAUUUAGGUGCAGCCUCUGUUGUUUUGUUCUAGAGGUAGAGCUACUGAUUGGAUGCGAGGGCUUCACCGCCUAUCAAAUCCGGCCAAACUCCGAAUGCUAGAACAUGAAGACAGGGAGUGAGCCAGCGGGUGCUAAGGUCCGUUGACGAAAGAGGGAGAACUCAGACCAUCAGCUAAGGUCCCCAAUUAUAUGCUAAGUUGGAAUAAAAACGGGGUGGGACUGCUUAGACAGCUAGGAUGUUGGCUUGGAAGCAGCCAUUCAUUUAAAGAGUGCGUAACAGCUCACUAGUCGAGCGGUCCUGCAUGGAUAAUACGCGGGCAUAAGCAUAUAACCGAAGCUAUGGGAUUGUAGAUGAUACAAUCGGUAGGAGAGCAUUCCAUUCAGCAUAGAAGCAGUAUCGUGAGGUAUUGUGGAGCGGAUGGAAAAGCAAAUGUAGGCAUAAGUAACGAUAAUGCGGGUGAGAACCCCGCACGCCGAAAGAUCAAGGAUUCCCCGGCAAUGUCAAUCAUCCGGGGGUAAGUCGGAUCCUAAGGGUAAGCCGAGUGGCGAUCCCGAUGGCAAACAGGUUAAUAUUCCUGUACUGAUCAUAACUGCGAUGCAGCGACGCAGAGGUGACACUGCUGCGUACUGACGGAAUAGUACGUUGAAACCCGUAUUCUUUGAUACCGGUAGUGAAGCACGCCGGUAGAGAUGAAAGGUGAUAGUACCGCAAUGCUUCGGUUGCGCGGAUAAUGCAGGUAAGCUGACUGCCAAGAAAACCUGCUAAGCUUCAGGUAAUGAUCAUCCGUACUGUAAACGGACACACGUGAUCAGGUAGAAAAUACUAAGGCGCUCGAGAGAUUCAUGGUUAAGGAACUAGGCAAAAUGGUCCUGUAACUUCGGGAUAAAGGACGCUCUUGUGAAAGAGCCGCAGAUAAUAGGCCCAGGCGACUGUUUACCAAAAACACAUGGCUAUGCUAAUUCGCAAGAAGAUGUAUAUGGCCUGACACCUGCCCGGUGCCGGAAGGUUAAGAGGAGAGCUCAGAGGUAACUCGAAGGUUUGAAUUGAAGCCCCGGUAAACGGCGGCCGUAACUAUAACGGUCCUAAGGUAGCGAAAUUCCUUGUCGGGUAAGUUCCGACCUGCACGAAUGGUGUAACGAUCUGGGUACUGUCUCAACCAUGAGCUCGGUGAAAUUGUAGUUCCGGUGAAGAUGCCGGAUACCCGCAACGGGACGGAAAGACCCCGUGAACCUUUACUGCAGCUUUGCAUUGAUUUUGGGUAACAGAUGUGUAGGAUAGGUCGGAGGCUUUGAUGCUGCGUCGUCAGGCGUAGAGUAGCCGUCGUUGAAAUACGACCCUUUUGUUAUCUGAGGUCUAAUCCCGUUAGGGAGACAUUGCAUGGUGGGUAGUUUGACUGGGGUGGUCGCCUCCAAAAGUGUAACGGAGGCUUCUCAAGGUACCCUCAAGGCGUUUGGUAAUCGUCUGCAGAGUGCAAUGGCAUAAGGGUGCUUGACUGUGAGACCGACACGUCGAUCAGGUUGGAAACAAGAGCAUAGUGAUCCGGUGGUUCCGCAUGGAAGGGCCAUCGCUCAAAGGAUAAAAGGUACUCCGGGGAU